GGAUUAGAUACCCUGGUAGUCCACACCGUAAACGAUGAAUGCUAGUUGCACGGCUCAUUUGCAUGCUGUGUGACGCAGCUAACGCAUUAAGCAUUCCGCCUGGGGAGUACGGUCGCAAGAUUAAAACUCAAAGGAAUUGACGGGGGCCCGCACAAGCGGUGGAGUAUGUGGUUUAAUUCGACGCAACGCGCAGAACCUUACCCAGUCUUGACAUCCCUGGACCACUAUGGAGACAUAGCUUUUCGACCUAACGGAAGAAUCAGGUGACAGGUGCUGCAUGGCUGUCGUCAGCUCGUGCCG
This 300-nucleotide ribosomal RNA is filed under the name uncultured bacterium. Its description in RNAcentral is "bacterial SSU rRNA". It matches the Rfam family "Bacterial small subunit ribosomal RNA", at positions 775 to 1067 of the family's 1533-position model. The record is from RNAcentral.